GACGAACGCUGGCGGCGUGCUUAACACAUGCAAGUCGAACGGAAAGGCCCUGCUUUUGUGGGGUGCUCGAGUGGCGAACGGGUGAGUAACACGUGAGUAACCUGCCCUUGACUUUGGGAUAACUUCAGGAAACUGGGGCUAAUACCGGAUAGGAGCUCCUGCUGCAUGGUGGGGGUUGGAAAGUUUCGGCGGUUGGGGAUGGACUCGCGGGUUAUCAGCUUGUUGGUGGGGUAGUGGCUUACCAAGGCUUUGACGGGUAGCCGGCCUGAGAGGGUGACCGGCCACAUUGGGACUGAGAGACGGACCAGACGCCUACGGGAGGCAGCAGUGGGGAAUAUUGCACAAUGGGCGGAAGCCUGAUGCAGCAACGCCGCGUGCGGGAUGACGGCCUUCGGGUUGUAAACCGCUUUCGCCUGUGACGAAGCGUGAGUGACGGUAAUGGGUAAAGAAGCACCGGCUAACUACGUG
This 468-nucleotide ribosomal RNA is filed under the name uncultured bacterium. Its description in RNAcentral is "partial 16S ribosomal RNA". It matches the Rfam family "Bacterial small subunit ribosomal RNA", at positions 28 to 507 of the family's 1533-position model. The record is from RNAcentral.